GAUGAACGCUGGCGGCGUGCUUAACACAUGCAAGUCGAGCGAAGCGCUUUGGUUAGAUUCUUCGGAUGAAGACCUUUGUGACUGAGCGGCGGACGGGUGAGUAACGCGUGGGUAACCUGCCUCAUACAGGGGGAUAACAGUUAGAAAUGACUGCUAAUACCGCAUAAGACCGCAGUACCGCAUGGUACAGGGGUAAAAACUCCGGUGGUAUGAGAUGGACCCGCGUUGGAUUAGCUAGUUGGCAGGGUAACGGCCUACCAAGGCGACGAUCCAUAGCCGGCCUGAGAGGGUGGACGGCCACAUUGGGACUGAGACACGGGCCCAGACUCCUACGGGAGGCAGCAGUUUCGAAUCAUUCACAAUGGGGGCAACCCUGAUGGUGCGACGUCGCGU
This 393-nucleotide ribosomal RNA is filed under the name uncultured bacterium. Its description in RNAcentral is "bacterial SSU rRNA". It matches the Rfam family "Bacterial small subunit ribosomal RNA", at positions 28 to 402 of the family's 1533-position model. The record is from RNAcentral.